UACGAAGGGUGCAAGCGUUACUCGGAAUUACUGGGCGUAAAGCGUGCGUAGGUGGUUCGUUAAGUCUGAUGUGAAAGCCCUGGGCUCAACCUGGGAAUGGCGAUGGAGACUGCGAGGCUAGAGUUUGGCAGAGGGGGGUAGAAUUCCACGUGUAGCAGUGAAAUGCGUAGAGAUGUGGAGGAACACCGAUGGCGAAGGCAGCCCCCUGGGCCAACACUGACGCUCAGGCACGAAAGCGUGGGGAGCAAACAGG
RNAcentral lists this ribosomal RNA (253 nucleotides) under uncultured bacterium. RNAcentral describes it as "partial 16S ribosomal RNA". It matches the Rfam family "Bacterial small subunit ribosomal RNA", at positions 524 to 776 of the family's 1533-position model. The record is from RNAcentral.